AGCUAAUGCACAAUAAUAUUGCAUAAUAAACCUUCCCAAGUGUCAACAGCUUACAACAACCAGUAUCUGUUCUUAUUUUAUGGGUCUGUUCAUCACCUACAGUUUAGCUUGUCUAGACUGGCAGAGCAUAAUGAUUAUCUAGACAUUAACUGUAUCCCAUCUUUUAUGGUCCAGUAUAGGCACAUUAACUCCAGAUUUAUUGACUAUUUUUAACAUAUGCAAAAAAAAAAGUCCAAGCCAAACAAUGAACAGGAAGCAAGGUGAGUUUAUUUUAUAGGCGGCAAUCUUCAUAGGUUUGAACUGUGUGUACAAACUGCUUGAAGGUAAAAUUACCUUUUUUUCUGGAUAUAGGACCACUUAUACAACGCACUUAACCUACUCUCCUCUUCCUCAGAAAACUGGAUGGUGUGUUCAAGAAUCAGUCCUUGGGAAUAUUGUUGGUGAACAUGGCAGAGGUGUUGUCUUCCAGGAAGGGACAAGCAGAGCAGUGCUUCAUCUUACAUCUACCUGUCAUGAGCUGAAUUCUGGACCUCCCGCUAAAAUCAGCUGUACCUUCAGACCAAAAAAUUCCUUGUUUCUCUGCUACCACAUUCCUUACACUAAGAAAACAACAACAAAAAGAUUCCUCCUCUAUGAUCAAGAAGCAGCAUAGAUGCUCAGGUAAAAAUUUUCAGAUUCAAGUUCUAAUUCCAGGCCUGUUCCCCAUUCAAUAGCAAUUCUGUGAAAAUUAUAGGGGAAAAGGUCAGUAUGUAACACUUCUACAAAUGUACCUACUUAUAUUUCACAUCAUUUCCUGCAAUUUCUAAGUGUCAUUUUUAUCCACAAAUGAGUAAUACUUUCAUCCCACAAAAAAAUCACAUGUUUUCUGAUUGCAAGGUGGUACAGCAAUUACUCUGAGUCUAUUUACUUAUUUCUUGUUUGUUUUUUAAUAUAUACCAGCUGAGGAGUCUGGCUCCAGGCAAAAAUCCUACAUGAUCUUUCAGCCUGGCCACUGGCAUUCAUAAGACUUUACUUAGCAGGCCUCGUGGGGGAAAGCUGUCCUCCCCAUCCCAGACUUGGGGCUUUGUGGUUUGCUGGAGGAAGCUUCAGUAAAGGACUCAGGAGCAGGUACUUACACUCAGAGGGCGUCUUGCUGGAGGCCUCUGCUGGGACGCUUCCCAAGAGCUUUUGCCAACCCCUCCUCACAGGGGGCCCUCACUUAUGUACUUUUCCUCACUCUGACUCAGUUUUUCUUCACUCCUAGCUCUUUCCCGCUCCCAGGGCUCAUCAAAAGGCAGGAGCUUCUUCUUCAGGAUCCUCAGCAGUAAGAUGAGUCCGUGAUGUAUACUUCAUGCCUUCUGACCCAAGCUGGGCACCUUUUCAUGGGAAACAUGGAACAUGACAGAGCUGGUGCAUCUAGAUGAGCUGACGAGCUCCAAGACCAAGCAUUUGCUGAGAAAAAGUCAUGUGAGCACACAGUGAGACAAUAACUGCCUGCAACCCCCAAGGAGAGCCCUCACCACACACCAACCUUGCUGGCACCUUGGUCUCAAACUUCCAGUCUCCAGAACUGUGCUAGCCAUCUUCAGGACAGAACUCUCUCAUGAUGCUAGGCAGCAGCAGGAGUGAGCCACAGCUCCCAGUCAGCUUCCAGGUCACCAAAG
This is a non-coding RNA of Sus scrofa (pig), 1643 nucleotides long. NCBI's taxonomy places the organism in Eukaryota, Metazoa, Chordata, Mammalia, Artiodactyla, Suidae. The record is from RefSeq and is a predicted model, not a curated record.